Molecule: long non-coding RNA, 375 nt
Organism: Mustela lutreola (European mink)
Lineage: Eukaryota; Metazoa; Chordata; Mammalia; Carnivora; Mustelidae
Exons: 3
Source: RefSeq, a predicted model, not a curated record
UGGCCAACAGCAACUCCAGCACGUUCACCACAGUGGAGAUGGGUGCUAUGGUGAGGAAAUCCAUGGCCACCGAGCUGGACCCAGAGUCAGCAUACAUCUUCUGGCUGAUGAUCAAGAUGAGGCAGGGCUGGGGGAGCCCCUAGAGGCCACUAUCAUCACCACUGAGAAGCGAGGUGGUGCUUCGAAACUAAGGUGACUGGACCUCGUUGGCAGCAUCCAACGCGUCUGGCCUCUGUCUCUUCAGUGCAGAUUCAAGUGCAAAAUAUACAGGAAUGUGACCUCUGUCAUCUCCCUGGUGGAUGUAUAUCACAGUUGCAGAGUCCCAGGCUGGCAGGAGAAGUGGGCGUGGUCACUGGGACAGCCCUCCGAAAUGGG